This 424-nucleotide ribosomal RNA is filed under the name uncultured bacterium. RNAcentral describes it as "bacterial SSU rRNA". It matches the Rfam family "Bacterial small subunit ribosomal RNA", at positions 355 to 776 of the family's 1533-position model. The record is from RNAcentral.
UGAGGAAUAUUGCGCAAUGGGCGAAAGCCUGACGCAGCAACGCCGCGUGGGGGAUGAAGGUGCUUUGCAUUGUAAACCCCUGUAGGGAGGGACGAAAAAGCCGGUUUUGCCGGCCCUGACGGUACCUCCAAAGUAAGCACCGGCUAACUCCGUGCCAGCAGCCGCGGUAAUACGGAGGGUGCAAGCGUUGUCCGGAUUUACUGGGUGUAAAGGGCGUGUAGGCGGGAGGAUGUGUCGGAAGUGAAAUCGCGCGGCUUAACCGUGUCAAUUGCUUCCGAAACUAUUCUUCUUGAGUACGAGAGAGGCAGAUGGAAUUCCAGGUGUAGCGGUGGAAUGCGUAGAUAUCUGGAAGAACACCAGUGGCGAAGGCGGUCUGCUGGCUCGAUACUGACGCUGAGGCGCGAAAGUGCGGGGAGCAAACAGG